CAAACGACUCUCGGCAACGGAUAUCUCGGCUCUUGCAUUGAUGAAGAACGUAGCGAAAUGCGAUACUUGGUGCGAAUUGCAGAAUCCCGUGAACCAUCGAGUCUUUGAACGCAAGUUGCGCCCGAGGCCAUUAGGUCGAGGGCACGUCUGCCUGGGCGUCACAC
Molecule: ribosomal RNA, 164 nt
Filed under: Aconitum sachalinense subsp. yezoense
Lineage: Eukaryota; Viridiplantae; Streptophyta; Magnoliopsida; Ranunculales; Ranunculaceae
Description: 5.8S rRNA
Rfam family: 5.8S ribosomal RNA
About the family: 5.8S ribosomal RNA (5.8S rRNA) is a component of the large subunit of the eukaryotic ribosome. It is transcribed by RNA polymerase I as part of the 45S precursor that also contains 18S and 28S rRNA. Functionally, it is thought that 5.8S rRNA may be involved in ribosome translocation.
Source: RNAcentral